CAAAGUCAUGCCACCAGUCUGAGGACAUCACUGGGAAUGGCACAUUGGACACGUGGCUUUCAACUCCAGCGAGACCCAAGUCGACUGGACCACAGCGGAAAAUGAUCCUUCCAGAGAAGAAGUUAUUUACUUCUACAACGAAUGGAAGAGUUACAACUUCCAGAUGACAGCUCUCCGCUCAUCCUUCUGGGCAACUUGAACAUCCGACAGAACUUAUGUGACCUACUGCGUUUAUUUUCUCCUUUAGCUCUCAUUUAAGUAUUAAAAUUCGCUGUAUUUUUGCAAGAGAGGCACCAAUCCUAUUUGAGUGACGUUUCGAUUGUGAAAUUGUAUUGGACCAUAUAGGUCAUCUGCAGAGCGUUGGCCCCUGGCGCAGUAAACCAGGGUUUGAUUCUUGGCAUGCACAAGACUCCUCAUGUGACUUAAAAUGAAUCCAGAAUGCAAUAUUUGUUCAGUAUGCAAGGGCAGUGAUUUAUUUAGUCAUGUUUGGUCAUGUUUUGGUUUUUUUACAUGACAAUAUGGUUUGGUACAUGCUGAGUUAAUGAAUAUACAUUCUAAAGUGCAAUGUCCAUAUGUGAAUAAGAGUUGUAUACGUUUAUCAUAGUCAACAUGGUGUGGAAAUAUCCCUUAUGUAGUUUGUCAAUGGGAACUAUAGUAGGCCGUAAUAACAGCUAAGGUAAUUACAGGUGGAUAUUUCUGGGAAUUAACCUUAAAUGAGACUGCAUUUAUGAUAUCUAAGAUAUACAGGACAAGAAAAAUGCACUGGAUGUGUAUAUGUGUUGAAUCAAUUAUACAGACGCAAACUGGAGAACGAGACAAGU
Pungitius pungitius (ninespine stickleback) is the source of this 821-nucleotide long non-coding RNA. RefSeq lists it as uncharacterized. The record is from RefSeq and is a predicted model, not a curated record. NCBI's taxonomy places the organism in Eukaryota, Metazoa, Chordata, Actinopteri, Perciformes, Gasterosteidae. The transcript has 2 exons.